UACGUAGGGUGCGAGCGUUGUCCGGAAUUACUGGGCGUAAAGAGCUCGUAGGUGGUUUGUCGCGUUGUUCGUGAAAACCUGAGGCUUAACCUCGGGCGUGCGGGCGAUACGGGCAGACUGGAGUACUGCAGGGGAGACUGGAAUUCCUGGUGUAGCGGUGGAAUGCGCAGAUAUCAGGAGGAACACCGGUGGCGAAGGCGGGUCUCUGGGCAGUAACUGACGCUGAGGAGCGAAAGCAUGGGGAGCGAACAGG
Molecule: ribosomal RNA, 253 nt
Filed under: uncultured bacterium
Lineage: Bacteria
Description: partial 16S ribosomal RNA
Rfam family: Bacterial small subunit ribosomal RNA
Source: RNAcentral